GGGGGCAUGGCUCAGGGCGGUAGAGUGCUUGCCUAUCAAGUAUAGGGCCCUAUGUUCAAACCUUAGUGCCACCA
Molecule: transfer RNA, 74 nt
Filed under: Dipodomys ordii (Ord's kangaroo rat)
Lineage: Eukaryota; Metazoa; Chordata; Mammalia; Rodentia; Heteromyidae
Rfam family: tRNA
About the family: Transfer RNA (tRNA) molecules are approximately 80 nucleotides in length. Their secondary structure includes four short double-helical elements and three loops (D, anti-codon, and T loops).
Source: Rfam by way of RNAcentral